Molecule: ribosomal RNA, 504 nt
Filed under: uncultured Glomus
Lineage: Eukaryota; Fungi; Glomeromycota; Glomeromycetes; Glomerales; Glomeraceae
Description: SSU rRNA
Rfam family: Eukaryotic small subunit ribosomal RNA
Source: RNAcentral
AGCAGCCGCGGUAAUUCCAGCUCCAAUAGCGUAUAUUAAAGUUGUUGCAGUUAAAAAGCUCGUAGUUGAAUUUCGGGAUUGACACAUCGGUCGUGCCUUAAGGGGUAUGAACUGGUGUAGUCAAUUUCUCACCUUCUGGAGAACCGCGAUGCCCUUAAUUGGGUGUCACGGGGAACCAGGACCUUUACUUUGAAAAAUUAGAGUGUUUAAAGCAGGCAUUUUGCUUGAAUACAUUAGCAUGGAAUAAUAAAAUAGGACGGCAUGAUUCUAUUUUGUUGGUUUCUAGGAUCACCGUAAUGAUUAAUAGGGAUAGUUGGGGGCAUUAGUAUUCAAUUGUCAGAGGUGAAAUUCUUGGAUUUAUUGAAGACUAACUACUGCGAAAGCAUUUGCCAAGGAUGUUUUCAUUAAUCAAGAACGAAAGUUAGGGGAUCGAAGACGAUCAGAUACCGUCGUAGUCUUAACCAUAAACUAUGCCGACUAGGAAUCAGACGAUGUUAAUUUUUA